Molecule: long non-coding RNA, 304 nt
Filed under: Gallus gallus (chicken)
Lineage: Eukaryota; Metazoa; Chordata; Aves; Galliformes; Phasianidae
Source: RNAcentral
GAUAAAUUCAUUUUUUCUUCUAUUUUUCGUAGCUUAGCUUCUUCCUUCUGUUUGUCCAGCUCUUCGAGCCACUUCUUCUGUUGCUCAUGCUUUAAAGAACUAAAAGGUUGUUCCUGUGGCACAGCUUCCUUAUCUGGGUCAGCUGUUUCCAUUUUCUCUGUGUGGUUUUUAUCAUUGCCAGAUUUUGUCCACAGAUAAACCACAUCUCCUUCCAAAGUUUCUUUCAGUUUCUUCUUCAGUGCUACCUGUUCAUCUAGUUCCUUCUUCCACUGUGUCUUUUUUGAUUCUAAUAAGGCUUUCUCUC